RNAcentral lists this long non-coding RNA (2639 nucleotides) under Homo sapiens (human). RNAcentral's name for it is "non-protein coding lnc-NRIP1-15:5". Lineage: Eukaryota; Metazoa; Chordata; Mammalia; Primates; Hominidae. The record is from RNAcentral.
AUAAAUGCCCAUGACACUGAUAGUCAAUGUUGAGUUCCUUAGGAAAAGUAGGACUUAAAAGCUACACAUCAGAAGACUGACUGUAAGAUAAAUCAGUGAGGGAUUCAUGGAUGUCUGAACUAGUUUGUGAAGAACUGUAGGAUAUUGACUGCAGGGACGGCAAAUGCAGACACAAGGAGGCAGAAUCAUAUGCAGCAUAUUCAGGAAGGGUGUAUAACUUUUGGGGUGGCUGUAAAGCAAUAUGAAACAAUAUAUCAUCAAUCAGAAGGCUGACAAAAUGGUAUGAGCUUUGACAACCUUUCCUGCCAAUGCACCUGGUGAGAAGCUUCAGUCAAUUCUUAAAAAGAAACAAAGUCAUGUGGAUCUAAGACAUAGAAAGAGUGAGCCCUGACAAGAACGCUUAGACUUGGAAUUCUCGGGAAAAAAAUGCCCAGGAGUUCAUGACUUAGGCCAGGAUGAAAAAUCACUUUGGAGUCACAGAGAGUAGCCUGAUUUAGAAAGGUAGAGACAAUGGAACCAUGGAAUUACUUGGGAACCUUCCUGAAAAGGAUAUAGCACCUUGACUAAAUCACUGAGGAUUGCGUCCCUGAGAAAGGUGAGCAAAAGGCAAUUAAUCAUGCACAUUUAUGACCUGCAAUCUCCAAGAAGGCUUCAGGAUGUACCCAGUGGGAGAAUUCAUGGACUAGUAGGCAAAAUGCCAGCUCAGACAGGAAUACUUGAUACUCUGGUAUUUCUGGCUCUAGUAAAUAUUGCCCAAAUCACCAUAAAAAAAAGACAUUUAAGUGCACUGAUUUCGGGGGAGGGUAGACUGCAAAAGAGAUCAUUUUAGGGCUCUGUCACUUUCUCCCUCGCCUGUCCUCCCCUCAAAUAUCUUUGUUCUUUUAAAUCCUAUCCCGUCCUUAUUCCUUUUCCCUUUACUAUUUUCUACAACCUAAAAGUUGGCUCAGCCUAGAAAUAGUACCGGGUAGAAAAAUCUUAAUAGGGUAUAUGGUCAUGGGUAAAGAGAUGGUUGCAAAAUAUAUUGUUGGAAUGAGUUGGGGAUAGGAGCUGAAAUCGGGGAGAAGUCCCAUUACUCUGGUAACAAAAAACAUAUAAAGAGUGAGAGAAGGAAAAUCAAAUCACCAUUUAUUACAAAUACAUCUUCAAACUUGGUUCAAUAGUUGUCUCUAAAGCCACUAUGUUACAAGAUUUUGUUAAUGAUUUUAGUUUUUUCUAAGUUAAACAAGUAAUGCUUGUUCCUUGUAAAAAAAAUCAAAUAAUACAGAAGUCUAAAAAAAAUGUAAAACCUCCAAAACCUGAUUCCCUGGAAGGAAAAAUUGAUUACAACUCGGUACUUUUUUGGACUUGCAAAUUUUUACAUACAUGUAUUUUUUCAACGUAUAAUACAAAAUAUAUAAAGGGCCCCUUCUUUUAAAAAGAAUUACUUUAUUCUUUUGUAUGAAUAAGAUAAAAAUAAACAUACUCUCAGCAUACACUUUACUCUUACUCAUGAACAUCGUAAUUGUUCAUAUUUGAGGUAUAUAAAUUUGACAUUUAAUAGGCAACUCUCUACAAAUUAUUAUUUAUGAGUCAAAAUUUAGUUUAUUCAAAAAACGGUGACUAAAAAGCAUGAUAUCUGUUCUUAUGCAGCUUAAAUUCUAUUUGGAAAAUAAAGCCACGCCAAAGAAAUAUUAAAACAAAAAUAUCAGGAAUAAAUGCUAAUAAAAUAAUGAAAAUAUCAUAACGUGAAAGAGUGACUGUGUAUCUACUUUACAUUUUUAUGGUAUCUCUUUUAAGUCUUAUCCACCAAGAAAAAAACUAAAGUAUGAGUUUUAUACUGUAGUUUUGUACAAUUAAAUUCUCAAGAUUCAAAAAUACCUUCCAAAUGCUAGCAAUUAGGCGUAUAAACUCUCGUAGGCUUUGUGCAAUGGUAUCCUGUAAGGCCAGCUCUUUCUAAGUCAAUCACUAUGGGUCUGAUUGACCUUGGCAGUAUUACAGGGUCAUAUUUUUACAUGGCUGAGCUGUUCUUGAACAAUUUCUACAAUGUACUAGGUACAAAUAGUCUUUUCUUCAGCACAAGGCAUGCGUGUCUUAUCUUCUCACCCAUUCUUCUCCUCACUGCCACUCCACCCCACCUUUUCUUUCAUUACUUUUAUGAAAGAAAAACUAUUGUAGGACAUGUAAAGAAAACUCGUCCCCACGGGCUUUUUUUCUUUCAGCCUGCCCUUUCUUCAUGCUAUGUUAUAGUUGAAAUACUGCACUUGUGGACUCCUGGUUUAUUCUUAAGAUGGAUUUUAUUUGUGAGUUUAUCUGGUUGUUUUGUGGCUCCAAUAUCGCAAAGAAUAACCUCUUUUCAUUUUCAUCAGAGGAAGGACAAGAGCUGGAAAGGGAUGUGGUUCUAUCAGCAAUUCGCCUAGGAAAAAUUUCAAUGUUUUUCUAAACUGUUCUACAAAGGAAUUGCAAUGUCAUCACAAAAAAAGACUGAGAUUACAGUUCUUAACUAUCAAAUAUCUCCAAUAAAAUAUAAUUUUUAAAUAAAGAAAUAAGACCCAUUUCCAUGAAGGCAAUCUUUUAUUUCCUUUAUGCUUCAACCCAGCAUAGUGUGGGGCGGAGGGGAGAGGAGAAAAUAUUAAACUAGAAACCAAGGUUGUCAGGCAGGA